RNAcentral lists this ribosomal RNA (458 nucleotides) under uncultured bacterium. RNAcentral describes it as "partial 16S ribosomal RNA". It matches the Rfam family "Bacterial small subunit ribosomal RNA", at positions 338 to 795 of the family's 1533-position model. The record is from RNAcentral.
CCUACGGGAGGCAGCAGUGAGGAAUAUUGGUCAAUGGGCGAGAGCCUGAACCAGCCAAGUCGCGUGAGGGAGUACUGCCCUAUGGGUUGUAAACCUCUUUUGUCGGGGAGCAAAAGCCGGACGGGUCCGGCUGUGAUAGUACCCGAAGGAAAAGCAUCGGCUAACUCCGUGCCAGCAGCCGCGGUAAUACGGGGGAUGUGAGCGGUAUCCGGGUUUUUUGGGGUUAAAGGGUGGGCAGGCGGAUGUUUAAGGCGGCGGUCAAAUCGUGGGGAUCAACCCCGUCCAGCCGUUGAAACUGGGGAUCUAGAGUGUGCGAGAGGUAUGCGGAAUGAGUGGUGUAGCGGUGAAAUGCAUAGAUAUCACGCAGAACCCCGAUUGCGAAGGCAGCAUACCGGUGCACAACUGACGCUCAGGCACGAAAGCGUGGGUAUCGAACAGGAUUAGAUACCCCUGUAGUC